RNAcentral lists this ribosomal RNA (490 nucleotides) under uncultured bacterium. RNAcentral's name for it is "partial 16S ribosomal RNA". It matches the Rfam family "Bacterial small subunit ribosomal RNA", at positions 30 to 507 of the family's 1533-position model. The record is from RNAcentral.
AUUGAACGCUGGCGGCAGGCCUAACACAUGCAAGUCGAACGGUAACAGGAAGAAGCUUGCUUCUUUGCUGACGAGUGGCGGACGGGUGAGUAAUGUCUGGGAAACUGCCUGAUGGAGGGGGAUAACUACUGGAAACGGUUGCUAAUACCGCAUAACGUCGCAAGACCAAAGAGGGGGACCUUCGGGCCUCUUGCCAUCGGAUGUGCCCAGAUGGGAUUAGCUUGUUGGUGGGGUAACGGCUCACCAAGGCGACGAUCCCUAGCUGGUCUGAGAGGAUGACCAGCCACACUGGAACUGAGACACGGUCCAGACUCCUACGGGAGGCAGCAGUGGGGAAUAUUGCACAAUGGGCGCAAGCCUGGUGCAGCCAUGCCGCGUGUAUGAAGAAGGCCUUCGGGUUGUAAAGUACUUUCAGCGGGGAGGAAGGGAGUAAAGUUAAUACCUUUGCUCAUUGACGUUACCCGCAGAAGAAGCACCGGCUAACUCCGUG